RNAcentral lists this long non-coding RNA (1463 nucleotides) under Pogona vitticeps (central bearded dragon). RNAcentral's name for it is "lncRNA (ENSPVIG00000023925.1)". The record is from RNAcentral. Lineage: Eukaryota; Metazoa; Chordata; Lepidosauria; Squamata; Agamidae.
AUUUAUAAUUCCCUCUCAGAGUAAACAUGGGGGGGUUGGCCACGGUCAACUGUUGAGAAGCCAAACCGGAAGUACCCAAGAAUAAGAUUCAGGGUUUCCACAUUUUCAGGGCAUCGGUGGUGACACACGCCCGAGAUGGCCCCUCGCCCCAAAAUUUUAAGAGAUCUCCCUCUUUCUUUGAUUCCCUCUCAUGCUCUGCCUACGCUGGGCACUCCCUAAAAAUGCCCGAAGCGGACGCAUGUGCCAAGUGAUAAGAAGCGUACAUUCAAAGUCACCAGAGAGCAAUGCAAACUACUGUUUCUUCAGCAUGUGCUGGACGUUUUUCUCUGAAACCCCCAACUUUUUACUGGGUUUCCAGGAGACAAGAAAAGAAAAAAGCUACACUUACACGGCCAGUUCUCCUUUUCCACCCCUGCUUUACCCGCACAACAGCCUGGUCAGGCCACUUGGGUUCACGGUCUGAGUUUGCAACAGGCGGGACGUUUCACCUCUCCCCGGGAUGCUGCUGUUUCAGGAUGUGCAUCUCCCAAGUAUGAUUUGUUGCGCAUGAGAAAGACACCCACAUCGCCUGGAGCGAUAGACGAGAGAAACCAAGCAGGAGAGAGAGAAAGAGAACAGUCCACUCCAGACAGAAGAGAGGAAAGGCACAGUUAAUUCAACCCUAGUUUAAGGUGGGUCUGUCCUCCCUGGUAUCUCUUUUCUCCCAUCCACCUUGGACGAUUUCCUAGGUUAAGCUUUGCUCAGGCAAACAGAACUCCUUUAGACAUGCCUAAAUCUGGGUUGCACCAUUGUGCUCUUCUGCCUUUUCUUUUUUCACAAGCAGGCAGAGCAAGAUCCACUCUCUGAGUAAACAUGCUUGGGAGCAUGGCGCAAGUCUGGGCGCAUGACCCAGAGCAGGGAAAGGAAAAUAACAGGAGUGGCAAAGCCUUUUCUGGGAGAAAACACAGCCUGACAAGCGAAGAAAAAGCACGUCUGCGGGGAGUGUGUGUCAUUGUCGCAUGUCUUGGGGGUGUGCGCUGUUGUUUCUAGCACACAUUGUUCUUGAGGGUACGAGGGGCUCAUGUUUCGCUACCGGUUGCUUUGACUUCAAAGUUAUUUGUGUGUGAGAGAACGGAUCAAUUGUGGGGUGAUUUACAGCUGCUUGGACCAAAAAAAGGAUUUAGGUGGAAGUUGUGUUAAAUCACACCGGAGGAACUGUGAGUGAUCCGUGAUGUGAAUUAUUGUUUUUAAAAAUAACACGCUCAAGAUCAUGAAGUGGCGAGGAAUCUCUGCCUUUAAUCUGCGCCCAGGGCUAAUAGGCUUAAAAUAUAGGCAUUAAGUACCAUCAGGUUGCUUCCAAGCUACAGCAAAGGUUAUGAAUUAAUAACUUCCAAAGAUUCUUAUCCGUUAGCAGCCUGGUUCAGAUCGUGCAGACAAAAGGGCCGAAGAUAUGCAUCAAGCUGAGGGAAAGCAGGAAUGCACCC